AAAUUGAAGAGUUUGAUCAUGGCUCAGAUUGAACGCUGGCGGCAGGCCUAACACAUGCAAGUCGAGCGGUAGCACAGAGAGCUUGCUCUCGGGUGACGAGCGGCGGACGGGUGAGUAAUGUCUGGGAAACUGCCUGAUGGAGGGGAUAACUACUGGAAACGGUAGCUAAUACCGCAUAACGUCGCAAGACCAAAGUGGGGACCUUCGGGCCUCAUGCCAUCAGAUGUGCCCAGAUGGGAUUAGCUAGUAGGUGGGGUAACGGCUCACCUAGGCGACGAUCCUAGCUGGUCUGAGAGGAUGACCAGCCACACUGGAACUGAGACACGGUCCAGACUCCUACGGGAGGCAGCAGUGGGGAAUAUUGCACAAUGGGCGCAAGCCUGAUGCAGCCAUGCCGCGUGUGUGAAGAAGGCCUUCGGGUUGUAAAGCACUUUCAGCGGGGAGGAAGGCGUUAAGGUUAAUAACCUUGGCGAUUGACGUUACCCGCAGAAGAAGCACCGGCUAACUCCGUGCCAGCAGCCGCGGUAAUACGGAGGGUGCAAGCGUUAAUCGGAAUUACUGGGCGUAAAGCGCACGCAGGCGGUCUGUCAAGUCGGAUGUGAAAUCCCCGGGCUCAACCUGGGAACUGCAUUCGAAACUGGCAGGCUAGAGUCUUGUAGAGGGGUAGAAUUCCGGUGUAGCGGUGAAAUGCGUAGAGAUCUGGAGGAAUACCGGUGGCGAAGGCGGCCCCUGGACAAAGACUGACGCUCAGGUGCGAAAGCGUGGGGAGCAAACAGGAUUAGAUACCCUGGUAGUCCACGCCGUAAACGAUGUCGAUUUGGAGGUUGUGCCCUUGAGGCGUGGCUUCCGGAGCUAACGCGUUAAAUCGACCGCCUGGGGAGUACGGCCGCAAGGUUAAAACUCAAAUGAAUUGACGGGGCCCGCACAAGCGGUGGAGCAUGUGGUUUAAUUCGAUGCAACGCGAAGAACCUUACCUGGUCUUGACAUCCACAGAACUUUCCAGAGAUGGAUUGGUGCCUUCGGGAACUGUGAGACAGGUGCUGCAUGGCUGUCGUCAGCUCGUGUUGUGAAAUGUUGGGUUAAGUCCCGCAACGAGCGCAACCCUUAUCCUUUGUUGCCAGCGGUUCGGCCGGGAACUCAAAGGAGACUGCCAGUGAUAAACUGGAGGAAGGUGGGGAUGACGUCAAGUCAUCAUGGCCCUUACGACCAGGGCUACACACGUGCUACAAUGGCAUAUACAAAGAGAAGCGACCUCGCGAGAGCAAGCGGACCUCAUAAAGUAUGUCGUAGUCCGGAUUGAGUCUGCAACUCGACUCCAUGAAGUCGGAAUCGCUAGUAAUCGUAGAUCAGAAUGCUACGGUGAAUACGUUCCCGGGCCUUGUACACACCGCCCGUCACACCAUGGGAGUGGGUUGCAAAAGAAGUAGGUAGCUUAACCUUCGGGAGGGCGCUUACCACUUUGUGAUUCAUGACUGGGGUGAAGUCGUAACAAGGUAACCGUAGGGGAACCUGCGGUUGGAUCACCUCCUUA
This 1531-nucleotide ribosomal RNA is filed under the name Klebsiella pneumoniae. Its description in RNAcentral is "bacterial SSU rRNA". It matches the Rfam family "Bacterial small subunit ribosomal RNA". The record is from RNAcentral. Lineage: Bacteria; Pseudomonadati; Pseudomonadota; Gammaproteobacteria; Enterobacterales; Enterobacteriaceae.